UGCAUAGGAAUCUACCUAGUAGUAUGGAAUAGCCAUUAGAAAUGAUGGGUAAUACUGUAUAAUCCCUGCGGGGGAAAGAUUUAUCGCUAUUAGAUGAGCCUACGUUAGAUUAGCUAGUUGGUAAGGUAAUGGCUUACCAAGGCUAUGAUCUAUAGCUGGUCUGAGAGGACGAUCAGCCACACUGGAACUGAGAUACGGUCCAGACUCCUACGGGAGGCAGCAGUGGGGAAUAUUGGACAAUGGGCGAAAGCCUGAUCCAGCUAUGCCGCGUGAGUGAAGAAGGCCUUCGGGUUGUAAAACUCUUUCAAUAGGGAAGAUAAUGACGGUACCUAUAGAAGAAGUCCCGGCAAACUCCGUGCCAGCAGCCGCGGUAAUACGGAGGGGGCAAGCGUUGUUCGGAAUUAUUGGGCGUAAAGGGCACGUAGGUGGACUAGUAAGUUAAAAGUGAAAUACCAAAGCUCAACUUUGGAGCUGCUUUUAAUACUGCUAGACUAGAGGUCGAAAGAGGAUAGCGGAAUUCCUAGUGUAGAGGUGAAAUUCGUAGAUAUUAGGAGGAACACCAGUGGCGAAGGCGGCUAUCUGGUUCGAUACUAA
This 594-nucleotide ribosomal RNA is filed under the name Ehrlichia ewingii. RNAcentral's name for it is "bacterial SSU rRNA". It matches the Rfam family "Bacterial small subunit ribosomal RNA", at positions 114 to 743 of the family's 1533-position model. The record is from RNAcentral. Lineage: Bacteria; Pseudomonadati; Pseudomonadota; Alphaproteobacteria; Rickettsiales; Anaplasmataceae.